CGGACACCUUCACCUCCUCUCUCUCACACCGAAAUCCAACAUCUUGGGCUGGGGCUGAGCUGAGCCACACUGCUGGGGGGCCCGAUGGGGGGGAGGGGGCUGCAGGAAACCCACCCUGCCCUGCUCUGAUGGGAUUCCCCACACAAAACCCCACAGCCCACGUGCCCUCCUCACCCCCGCGCCCAUCUCUGCUCCUUCUCCCAUCCGAGGUGUUUAUUUAAUUGUUUUCCCCACUCCUCGGUGGCAGCGCUUCCCUGCCAUUAAACCCUGCCAUCCGCGUUCUGACUGCGUAAUUUAAAGCUAUAGUUAAAUUAUGACUUCUCUGAACCUGUUGUGGCACUGACGCAUAACCCUAAUUAAAUGAUCACAUCCAUUCUAAAGCCAGUCUUUUCUCCCCUCAAACGUUAAUUACAACAUAAGAGGCUUUAAUGGCUCGCCUCACCUCCAGCUCCUCGAAAGAAAGGUCAUGCGAUUAAUUUUCGUCAUUAAUCUUUUCCCAAUGUGGACAUUGUGCUGUCACUGGAGCCUAUUAAACCCCCUUUGUCCCCCUCCCCUUCUUCUCCCUUCUCUCCCCUUCUUUCCUCCCCCCCAUCCCUAAGUGAACGAGAGAACAAAAAUAUUUAAGCUUCACUUUGGCUCUGGUGCUACUUCAGGUGAGCAGGGCUGGGGUGGUGGAUAGGAGAUGUCCUACAUCCCACAUCCCCCAUCCAACACUUCAUGCCCUGUGUCCCAUGUUCCACGUUCCACAUCCCACAUCCCAAGUCCCAUCUCAUCCAAUGUCCUGCAUCCCAUGUUUCAUGUCCCACAUUCCACGUCCCACGUAUCACACCUCAUGUCCUACAUCCCAUGUCCCACAUCCCAUGUCCUACUUCCCACAUCCCAUGUUCCAUAUCCCACAUUCCACAUCCCAUGUCCUAUGUCCCAUGUCCUACUUCCCAUGUCCUACAUCUCACAUCCUUUGUUCUGUGUUCCACAUUCCAUGUUCUAUGUCUCCCAUUCCACAUCUUGUGGCCCAUGUCCAACAUUUCAUGUUCUAUGUCCCACGUCAAGUGUCCAGCAUCCACAUCCUAUGUCACGUGUCCCACAUCCCAAGUUUCACAUCCCAUGUCCCAUGUCCCAUGUCCUAUGUCCCAUGUUCCAUGUCCCACAUCUCACGUUCCUCAUUCAACAUCCCAUGUUCUAUGCCCCAGGUCCCAUACUCCAUGUUCAACAUCCCAUUUCUUACAUUGCAUGUUCCAUAUCCCACAUCACACAUCCCAUACCCCAUGUCCUAUGUUCCAUGUCCCAUAUCCCCCAUUCCACAUUCCACAUCUCAGGUCCCACAUUCUACAUUCAGUUUUGCACGUUCCAUGUCCUACAUCCCAUGGCUCACAUCCUGCAUACCACUUCAGCAUCACGUCCUAUAUUCCACGUCCCAAAUACCAGAUUCAGCAUGCUACAUCCGACAUCCCAUAUCCAGCAUCCUAUGUCCCACAUCCCACAUCCCAUGUCCUACAUCCCAUAUCCCACAUACCACAUUCAGCAUCCUGUGUCCUGUGGCCUACGUCCCAAAUACAAUGUUCAACAUCCUACGUUCCAUGUUCCAAGUCCCACAUCACACAUCCCAUGUCCCAUGUUCCAUGUUCCAUGUUCCAUAUCCCACAUCCCAAAUCACACAUCCUGUGUCCAGCAUCCCAUGUCCUACAUCUCACAUCCCACGUGCCACAUUCAGCAUCCCGUAUCUGACAUCCCACAUCUCAAAUACCACGUUCAACAUCCCACAUCCUACAUUCAAUGUCCCACAUCCCACGUCCUACAUCCCAUCUCCCACAUCCCACCAGCACCACCCCAAGAGCAACCCGAGGACAAAUACAAUUUUGGAGUGCUGGGGACCCCCUUGAAUGCAGCAGAGCAAAGCCAACACCUCGGUAGCAGAGCUGUGCACCCAGCCCUGCCAAAGGGCCUGCAGCAGGCCCCUUUUUUCCCCCCUUUUCAGAGGAAGUGGGCAUUUUUCCUAAACUCCACAAAAUUCCUUCGGCGAGUUAAUC
Phasianus colchicus (ring-necked pheasant) is the source of this 2027-nucleotide long non-coding RNA. Lineage: Eukaryota; Metazoa; Chordata; Aves; Galliformes; Phasianidae. The record is from Ensembl.